Molecule: ribosomal RNA, 713 nt
Filed under: uncultured Staphylococcus sp.
Lineage: Bacteria; Bacillati; Bacillota; Bacilli; Caryophanales; Staphylococcaceae
Description: bacterial SSU rRNA
Rfam family: Bacterial small subunit ribosomal RNA
Source: RNAcentral
GAGAAGCUUGCUUCUCUGAUGUUAGCGGCGGACGGGUGAGUAACACGUGGAUAUCCUACCUAUAAGACUGGGAUAACUUCGGGAAACCGGAGCUAAUACCGGAUAAUAUUUUGAACCGCAUGGUUCAAAAGUGAAAGACGGUCUUGCUGUCACUUAUAGAUGGAUCCGCGCUGCAUUAGCUAGUUGGUAAGGUAACGGCUUACCAAGGCAACGAUGCAUAGCCGACCUGAGAGGGUGAUCGGCCACACUGGAACUGAGACACGGUCCAGACUCCUACGGGAGGCAGCAGUAGGGAAUCUUCCGCAAUGGGCGAAAGCCUGACGGAGCAACGCCGCGUGAGUGAUGAAGGUCUUCGGAUCGUAAAACUCUGUUAUUAGGGAAGAACAUAUGUGUAAGUAACUGUGCACAUCUUGACGGUACCUAAUCAGAAAGCCACGGCUAACUACGUGCCAGCAGCCGCGGUAAUACGUAGGUGGCAAGCGUUAUCCGGAAUUAUUGGGCGUAAAGCGCGCGUAGGCGGUUUUUUAAGUCUGAUGUGAAAGCCCACGGCUCAACCGUGGAGGGUCAUUGGAAACUGGAAAACUUGAGUGCAGAAGAGGAAAGUGGAAUUCCAUGUGUAGCGGUGAAAUGCGCAGAGAUAUGGAGGAACACCAGUGGCGAAGGCGACUUUCUGGUCUGUAACUGACGCUGAUGUGCGAAAGCGUGGGGAUCAA